AUGACCUGAUUAUGAUUCCUCGGGCACUCUCUCGCGUAGUGAUGGGCAUUCCCACAUAUAUGUUAAGUAUUGCUGAGGUAAUAGUAGGGUCGGUCCUUAUGAUCUUUGUCACAGUGUUGGCAAGUCCUACCGCGUCAUGUUACCAGAAUCUGAGGAGGAGCCUGAGUCACUAACCUAGGUCUCUUGUUCUACUGAAUAGGUGCAGUGGAUGCUGGUCUUUGGUGUGAAACUGGAGGCCUGAGGUUCCCCACUGUUGGAUAAAAAAUGUGAAGGUUCCUCU
RNAcentral lists this long non-coding RNA (280 nucleotides) under Carica papaya (papaya). RNAcentral describes it as "long non-coding RNA (CPAP_LNC007638)". Lineage: Eukaryota; Viridiplantae; Streptophyta; Magnoliopsida; Brassicales; Caricaceae. The record is from RNAcentral.